This is a non-coding RNA of Carassius auratus (goldfish), 600 nucleotides long. NCBI's taxonomy places the organism in Eukaryota, Metazoa, Chordata, Actinopteri, Cypriniformes, Cyprinidae. The record is from the annotation of a RefSeq genome assembly.
AUGUUACAUAUUUUAGCUGCAGCUUUAUUGCUCUUUGAGACAGGUCUUCUCAGAGUUAUGUUUUCAACAGCAAGUACACAGACUCAUUCAGGACAGAGAGUCACUAUGUGGUGUUCACACAAUAUCCAUGUUUCUGGAUAUCUGUCCUGGUUCAAACAAUCAGACGAUGCUGUACCCAUUACUAUUGUGCGCAUGUUAUACACCGAAAGUCUUCAGAAAGUUGAGCCAACAUAUUUCAAUAAUUUCACAAAAGAUCGCCUGGUCAUGGAUCUGUUCAGCAACGUCACCACCCUAACAAUCACGCAAGUGAAAAUGUCUGAUUCUGGAUUCUACUUUUGUGGAACUACAGAUUAUGAUGUGAAAUUCGGCAAUGGAACCAGACUUGAAGUAAAAGAGAAAAAUUACACAGGAACCUCAAAAAAGGGGAACACAGAAGACAGAAGCAUAAAAAAGUCGCUGAAUGUCAAGCACAACAGCAGGAUGACAAGGAAAAUGAUUCAGUAUAUACUGCUGUGUAUUUCUCAAACCAAAGACCCAAAAGAGCAGGACGACAUACUGAGGACCCAAUUGCUGUGUACACUGAUACUACUUGAAAAAUAA